GACGAACGCUGGCGGCGUGCUUAACACAUGCAAGUCGAACGGAAAGGCCUGCUUUCCCUUGUGGAUUGCGGGUACUCGAGUGGCGAACGGGUGAGUAACACGUGAGUGAUCUGCCCCCAACUUGGGUAUAAGCCUGGGAAACUGGGUCUAAUUCCCGAUAGGGCUGCAGGGUGGUGCCUGUGGUGGAAAACGAUUUUCUAGUGGUUGGGGAUGAGCUGGCGGCCUAUCAGCUUGUUGGUGGGGGAAUGGCCUACCAAGGCGGCGACGGGUAGCCGGCCUGGGAGGGUGGACGGCCACAUGGGGACUGAGAUACGGCCCAGAGUCCUACGGGAGGCAGCAGUGGGGAAUAUUGCACAAGGGGCGGAAGCCUGAUGCAGCGACGCCGCGGGGGGGAUGACGGCCUUCGGGUUGUAAACUCCUUUCGACCGCGAGGAAGCCACCUGGUUGGAAGGGUGGUGACGGUAGUGGGAGAAGAAGCACCGGCUAACUACGUG
This 494-nucleotide ribosomal RNA is filed under the name uncultured bacterium. RNAcentral describes it as "partial 16S ribosomal RNA". It matches the Rfam family "Bacterial small subunit ribosomal RNA", at positions 28 to 507 of the family's 1533-position model. The record is from RNAcentral.